UGUGAGCUCGAUGAGUAGGGCGGGACACGUGAUAUCCUGUCUGAAGAUGGGGGGACCAUCCUCCAAGGCUAAAUACUCCUGACUGACCGAUAGUGAACCAGUACCGUGAGGGAAAGGCGAAAAGAACCCCGGCGAGGGGAGUGAAACAGAACCUGAAACCGUGUACGUACAAGCAGUGGGAGCCUUCGUAAGAGGGUGACUGCGUACCUUUUGUAUAAUGGGUCAGCGACUUAUAUUCUGUAGCAAGGUUAACCGUAUAGGGGAGCCGAAGGGAAACCGAGUCUUAAUUGGGCGUUAAGUUGCAGGGUAUAGACCCGAAACCCGGUGAUCUAGCCAUGGGCAGGUUGAAGGUUGGGUAACACUAACUGGAGGACCGAACCGACUAAUGUUGAAAAAUUAGCGGAUGACCUGUGGCUGGGGGUGAAAGGCCAAUCAAACCGGGAGAUAGCUGGUUCUCCCCGAAAGCUAUUUAGGUAGCGCCUCGUGAACUCAUCUCCGGGGGUAGAGCACUGUUUCGGCUAGGGGGCCAUCCCGGCUUACCAACCCGAUGCAAACUGCGAAUACCGGAGAAUGUUAUCACGGGAGACACACGGCGGGUGCUAACGUCCGUCGUGAAGAGGGAAACAACCCAGACCGCCAGCUAAGGUCCCAAAGUCAUGGUUAAGUGGGAAACGAUGUGGGAAGGCCCAGACAGCCAGGAUGUUGGCUUAGAAGCAGCCAUCAUUUAAAGAAAGCGUAAUAGCUCACUGGUCGAGUCGGCCUGCGCGGAAGAUGUAACGGGGCUAAACCAUGCACCGAAGCUGCGGCAGCGACACUAUGUGUUGUUGGGUAGGGGAGCGUUCUGUAAGCCUGCGAAGGUGUGCUGUGAGGCAUGCUGGAGGUAUCAGAAGUGCGAAUGCUGACAUAAGUAACGAUAAAGCGGGUGAAAAGCCCGCUCGCCGGAAGACCAAGGGUUCCUGUCCAACGUUAAUCGGGGCAGGGUGAGUCGACCCCUAAGGCGAGGCCGAAAGGCGUAGUCGAUGGGAAACAGGUUAAUAUUCCUGUACUUGGUGUUACUGCGAAGGGGGGACGGAGAAGGCUAUGUCGGCCGGGCGACGGUUGUCCCGGUUUAAGCGUGUAGGCUGACUUUCCAGGCAAAUCCGGAAGGUUAAGGCUGAGGCGUGAUGACGAGGCACCACGGUGCUGAAGUGACAAAUGCCCUGCUUCCAGGAAAAGCCUCUAAGCAUCAGGUAACAUCAAAUCGUACCCCAAACCGACACAGGUGGUCAGGUAGAGAAUACCAAGGCGCUUGAGAGAACUCGGGUGAAGGAACUAGGCAAAAUGGUGCCGUAACUUCGGGAGAAGGCACGCUGACAUGUAGGUGAAGCCCCUGCGGGUGGAGCUGAAGUCAGUCGAAGAUACCAGCUGGCUGCAACUGUUUAUUAAAAACACAGCACUGUGCAAACACGAAAGUGGACGUAUACGGUGUGACGCCUGCCCGGUGCCGGAAGGUUAAUUGAUGGGGUUAUCGCAAGAGAAGCUCCUGAUCGAAGCCCCGGUAAACGGCGGCCGUAACUAUAACGGUCCUAAGGUAGCGAAAUUCCUUGUCGGGUAAGUUCCGACCUGCACGAAUGGCGUAAUGAUGGCCAGGCUGUCUCCACCCGAGACUCAGUGAAAUUGAACUCGCUGUGAAGAUGCAGUGUACCCGCGGCAAGACGGAAAGACCCCGUGAACCUUUACUACAGCUUGACACUGAACAUUGAGCCUUGAUGUGUAGGAUAGGUGGGAGGCUUUGAAGCGUGGACGCCAGUCUGCGUGGAGCCGACCUUGAAAUACCACCCUUUAAUGUUUGAUGUUCUAACCUGGCGCCGUGAUCCGGCGUGGGGACAGUGUCUGGUGGGUAGUUUGACUGGGGCGGUCUCCUCCCAAAGUGUAACGGAGGAGCACGAAGGUCAGCUAAUCCUGGUCGGACAUCAGGAGGUUAGUGCAAUGGCAUAAGCUGGCUUGACUGCGAGAGUGACGGCUCGAGCAGGUGCGAAAGCAGGUCAUAGUGAUCCGGUGGUUCUGUAUGGAAGGGCCAUCGCUCAACGGAUAAAAGGUACUCCGGGGAUAACAGGCUGAUACCGCCCAAGAGUUCAUAUCGACGGCGGUGUUUGGCACCUCGAUGUCGGCUCAUCACAUCCUGGGGCUGAAGUAGGUCCCAAGGGUAUGGCUGUUCGCCAUUUAAAGUGGUACGCGAGCUGGGUUUAGAACGUCGUGAGACAGUUCGGUCCCUAUCUGCCGUGGGCGCUGGAGAAUUGAGGGGGGCUGCUCCCAGUACGAGAGGACCGGAGUGGACGCAUCACUGGUGUUCGGGUUGUCAUGCCAAUGGCACUGCCCGGUAGCUAAAUGCGGAAGAGAUAAGUGCUGAAAGCAUCUAAGCACGAAACUUGCCCCGAGAUGAGUUCUCCCUGAGACUGUAAGUCUCCUGAAGGAACGUUGAAGACGACGACGUUGAUAGGCCGGGUGUGUAAGCGCAGCGAUGCGUUGAGCUAACCGGUACUAAUGAACCGUGAGGCUUAACCUU
RNAcentral lists this ribosomal RNA (2545 nucleotides) under Cronobacter sakazakii. Its description in RNAcentral is "partial 23S ribosomal RNA". It matches the Rfam family "Bacterial large subunit ribosomal RNA", at positions 398 to 2925 of the family's 2925-position model. RNAcentral also lists the same sequence under 1 other name. The record is from RNAcentral. Lineage: Bacteria; Pseudomonadati; Pseudomonadota; Gammaproteobacteria; Enterobacterales; Enterobacteriaceae.